Molecule: ribosomal RNA, 465 nt
Filed under: Vreelandella stevensii
Lineage: Bacteria; Pseudomonadati; Pseudomonadota; Gammaproteobacteria; Oceanospirillales; Halomonadaceae
Description: partial 16S ribosomal RNA
Rfam family: Bacterial small subunit ribosomal RNA
Source: RNAcentral
CCUACGGGUGGCUGCAGUGGGGAAUAUUGGACAAUGGGGGCAACCCCGAUCCAGCCAUGCCGCGUGUGUGAAGAAGGCCCUCGGGUUGUAAAGCACUUUCAGUGAGGAAGAACGCCUGGUGGUUAAUACCCAUCAGGAAAGACAUCACUCACAGAAGAAGCACCGGCUAACUCCGUGCCAGCAGCCGCGGUAAUACGGAGGGUGCGAGCGUUAAUCGGAAUUACUGGGCGUAAAGCGCGCGUAGGUGGCUUGAUAAGCCGGUUGUGAAAGCCCCGGGCUCAACCUGGGAACGGCAUCCGGAACUGUCAAGCUAGAGUGCAGGAGAGGAAGGUAGAAUUCCCGGUGUAGCGGUGAAAUGCGUAGAGAUCGGGAGGAAUACCAGUGGCGAAGGCGGCCUUCUGGACUGACACUGACACUGAGGUGCGAAAGCGUGGGUAGCAAACAGGAUUAGAUACCCUUGUAGUC